GACGAACGCUGGCGGCGUGCCUAAUACAUGCAAGUAGAACGCACAGUUUAUACCGUAGCUUGCUACACCAUAGACUGUGAGUUGCGAACGGGUGAGUAACGCGUAGGUAACCUGCCUGGUAGCGGGGGAUAACUAUUGGAAACGAUAGCUAAUACCGCAUAAUAUUGAUUAUUGCAUGAUAAUUAAUUGAAAGGUGCAAUUGCACCACUACCAGAUGGACCUGCGUUGUAUUAGCUAGUAGGAGAGGUAACGGCUCACCUAGGCGACGAUACAUAGCCGACCUGAGAGGGUGAUCGGCCACACUGGGACUGAGACACGGCCCAGACUCCUACGGGAGGCAGCAGUAGGGAAUCUUCGGCAAUGGACGAAAGUCUGACCGAGCAACGCCGCGUGAGUGAAGAAGGGUUUCGGAUCGUAAAGCUCUGUUGUAAGAGAAGAACGGGUGUGAGAGUGGAAAGUUCACACUGUGACGGUAUCUUACCAGAAAGGGACGGCUAACUACGUG
This 505-nucleotide ribosomal RNA is filed under the name uncultured bacterium. Its description in RNAcentral is "partial 16S ribosomal RNA". It matches the Rfam family "Bacterial small subunit ribosomal RNA", at positions 28 to 507 of the family's 1533-position model. The record is from RNAcentral.